AUUGAACGCUGGCGGCAGACCUAACACAUGCAAGUCGAACGGUAACAGGAAGAAGCUUGUUUCGUUGCUGACGAGUGGCGGACGGGUGAGUAAUGUCUGGGAAACUGCCUGAUGGAGGGGGAUAACUACUGGAAACGGUAGCUAAUACCGCAUCACGUCGCAAGACCAAAGAGGGGGACCUUCGGGCCUCUUGCCAUCGGAUGUGCCCAGAUGGGAUUAGCUAGUAGGUGGGGUAACGGCUCACCUAGGCGACGAUCCCUAGCUGGUCUGAGAGGAUGACCAGCCACACUGGAACUGAGACACGGUCCAGACUCCUACGGGAGGCAGCAGUAGGGAAUAUUGCACAAUGGGCGCAAGCCUGAUGCAGCCAUGCCGCGUGUAUGAAGAAGGCCUUCGGGUUGUAAAGUACUUUCAGCGGGGAGGAAGGGAGUAAAGUUAAUACCUUUGCUCAUUGACGUUACCCGCAGAAGAAGCACCGGCUAACUCCGUGCCAGCAGCCGCGGUAAUACGGAGGGUGCAAGCGUUAAUCGGAAUUACUGGGCGUAAAGCGCACGCAGGCGGUUUGUUAAGUCAGAUGUGAAAUCCCCGGGCUCAACCUGGGAACUGCAUCUGAUACUGGCAAGCUUGAGUCUCGUAGAGGGGGGUAGAAUUCCAGGUGUAGCGGUGAAAUGCGUAGAGAUCUGGAGGAAUACCGGUGGCGAAGGCGGCCCCCUGGACGAAGACUGACGCUCAGGUGCGAAAGCGUGGGGAGCAAACAGG
This 759-nucleotide ribosomal RNA is filed under the name uncultured Enterobacteriaceae bacterium. Its description in RNAcentral is "bacterial SSU rRNA". It matches the Rfam family "Bacterial small subunit ribosomal RNA", at positions 28 to 776 of the family's 1533-position model. The record is from RNAcentral. Lineage: Bacteria; Pseudomonadati; Pseudomonadota; Gammaproteobacteria; Enterobacterales; Enterobacteriaceae.